This 382-nucleotide RNase P RNA is filed under the name Pseudogemmatithrix spongiicola. Its description in RNAcentral is "RNase P RNA component class A". It matches the Rfam family "Bacterial RNase P class A". From Rfam's summary of the family: Ribonuclease P (RNase P) is a ubiquitous endoribonuclease, found in archaea, bacteria and eukarya as well as chloroplasts and mitochondria. Its best characterised activity is the generation of mature 5'-ends of tRNAs by cleaving the 5'-leader elements of precursor-tRNAs. Cellular RNase Ps are ribonucleoproteins. Lineage: Bacteria; Pseudomonadati; Gemmatimonadota; Gemmatimonadia; Gemmatimonadales; Gemmatimonadaceae. The record is from RNAcentral.
AGGUUCCGUCGGACGAUCGCGUCGUGGCUUCGGCUGCGCCGAGGAAAGUCCGGGCUCCUUGGACACGCUGCCAGGUAACGCCUGGGCACGCACGCGCGCGAGCGCACUGCGUGACGGACAGUGCAACAGAAAGCAAACCGCCUUCGGGAAACCGGAGGUAAGGGUGAAAGGGUGGGGUAAGAGCCCACCGCGUCGGCGGUAACGUCGGCGGCACGGCAAACCCCAGCGGGAGCAAGGUCAAAUAGGCGGCGAGCAGCAGUCCUCUGCGAACAAGACGCCGCGGGUUGGCCGCUAGAGCGCACGCGCGAGCGGGCGCCGAGAGGAAUGAUCGUCCGGUGCGGCAACGCAUCGACAGAACCCGGCUUACAGACGGAACCUUCGA